ACUGUCACUCUUGCGUGAUAUUGAUAGUCCACAACAAACUGCCUACAAGCAGGAAUUAAUGGAACGCAUAGAGAAUUUGACAGAACUUUGGAACACUUGCUUUCCACCGACUCCAUCGACAUCCA
Molecule: non-coding RNA, 125 nt
Filed under: Fragilariopsis kerguelensis
Lineage: Eukaryota; Bacillariophyta; Bacillariophyceae; Bacillariales; Bacillariaceae
Source: RNAcentral